This 1682-nucleotide long non-coding RNA is filed under the name Phaseolus vulgaris (common bean). Its description in RNAcentral is "long non-coding RNA (PVUL_LNC000552)". The record is from RNAcentral. Lineage: Eukaryota; Viridiplantae; Streptophyta; Magnoliopsida; Fabales; Fabaceae.
UAUAUUUUGAAUUGUAUAACUUGGAAGGAAUUUUUUGGAAUGUCAAAUACGUUUUGAAUUAUAAAAUAUGAAGAAAAAAAAAUCUAGAAGUUUCAGAGGUUCACUUUCAUUUUUUCCUUUCUCGUGCUCUUAAUUUCUCCCUUCUUCAUUUUUUCUUUUCCGUUAUGUGCCAUGUGUUCCCUAUAGAGGUCCUCAAUUUCCUUUGUCUCCCUCAUAUGCAGUUGACUUGCUUCCAUGGUGACGAAAGGUAAGUAAUCUUGGAUACCUUUAUUGUUUACAUUAGGGAGUAGUGGUUUGACAAAACCUAAUUGUAAUGUAGAAAAGACAUUUGAAAUUGGACUUGGAUUGAAAGUUCAAUCUUGAAGUGGAAGAGGAAACAUGGUCGUGAGGAGGCAGAGAAGAAGUCAUUACCAUUAUUAGCCUAAAGGUGAGUUUUGGGUUGGAUUUUAUACUUUGAUAGGGUCUUUUUUGUGUGUAUUUUGUGGCUUUGAUUAUUGUUGAAAUUGGUGGAUGAGAGGGAAUGUUGCAUGCGAAAGACCCAAGGGUUCCUUUUUGCUUGGGCUUGUUUUAAACGCUUGGUCCUGUGGUGUAGAAGCUCGCACUAGACGCUAGGACUAGACAAUCCUUGUAGUUUUUUAGGGUAUAAACACUCCUUGUUAUCACUUUUUGGUUACUUUUGUUGAACAAGAUGCUUUGAUGUCUCCAAAUCCAAGUGGAAAGCUUGAAGACCUUGCUGUUGUUGUGUGUGUGUGUCUAGUUGUUUGAAACUUGUUAAUUCACUCCUUAGGAUGAUCCAAGCUCAAUUGAAUCUUUAACAUUUUGAAAAGAUGGGGUUUCUAAAAAGAAGUGAAAUUUCAACAGAUUGAAAUUUCGAAUCAACAAGUUGUUUGACACUUAGAGGAUUUUAAAAUGAUCUGGAAAAACUUUGUCUUUGCCUUUGCUGUCAAACAAAAAUAAUCGUUAUUUCGAUAAAUCAACCGAUUGUUUUUUUGAAAACCUUAACAAAAUUUUGUUAAGUUUUUUUCUGUUUUAAAUGAUUCCAACAACUUUUGGUUUUCUGUUGUAACUGUUUUAACCAUGUGAUUGAAAGAUAAAAAGGUGGUUUUAAGCUCCUAUGCAUCAACGAAGUGAGUGAGAUCAAUCAAAAACAGUUUUCAAGUUUUCAAAGAGCUUUUGGAUCAUCUCAAGUGUGGAAUAGGAUUGGGUCUUGUAUUCUGAACUUUGAUCUUGUGAUUUACCCAGGUGUAUUCUAUUCCCUUCUUUCUUGAAAAUUGUAUUUUUGUACUGGUGUUGCCAAUAAAUGUUGUGUGUUCUCGAUGGGAUCAAGGUCAACAUUCUUGGUGUGGUUUUUGUCAAGGAGUGGUGUGUGUUCUUGAGGGGUUCAAGAUCAUCACUCUUGGUGUGUGUAGCUUGUAAUCUAGGGUUGAUUACAUAGUGAAUUCUCAGUGGUUUAUGAGGAAUGGAUGUAGCUCAGGUGUUGAGUGAACAAGUAUAAACAUUAUGUGUGAAUCUCUUUAUCCUUACACUCUUUAAACUACUUUAACUUUGUUUUUAUAAAGUGUUGAUAAAAACAAUAGACUGUUUCGUAAAAACAACCGGUUGAUUUUCUGCAACAAGUUUAAAAACAGUUUUAUAUUUGGCUGGACAAAUUUUCCAUUGAUUAAUUCUUCAUAGCCUUUCAC